Molecule: ribosomal RNA, 512 nt
Filed under: uncultured bacterium
Lineage: Bacteria
Description: partial 16S ribosomal RNA
Rfam family: Bacterial small subunit ribosomal RNA
Source: RNAcentral
GACGAACGCUGGCGGCGUGCCUAAUACAUGCAAGUCGAGCGAGCGAAACUAACAGAUUUACUUCGGUAAUGUCGUUAGGAAAGCGAGCGGCGGAUGGGUGAGUAACACGUGGGGAACCUGCCCCACAGUCUGGGAUACCACUUGGAAACAGGUGCUAACACCGGCUAAGAAAGCAGAUCGCAGGAUCAGCUUUUAAAUGGUGGCGUAAGCUGUCUCACUGGGAUGGCGCAGCAGUGCAUUAGCUAGUUGGUAAGGUAAAGACUUACUAAGACGGGGGUAAAUAUCCGAUUUGUGGGACUGUUCGGCCGCAUUGGGACUGAAACACGCCCAAAGCUCCUACGGUAGGCAGCAGUAGAGAAUCUUCCACAAUGGUCGCGAGUCUGAUGGAGCAGCGGCGCGUCAGAGGAAAAAGUUUUCGGUUCGUAAAGCUCUGUUGUUGGUGGAGAAGGAUAGAGGUAGUAACUGGCCUUUAUUUGACGGUAAUCAGCAAGAAAGUCACGGCUAACUACGUG